This 253-nucleotide ribosomal RNA is filed under the name uncultured bacterium. RNAcentral describes it as "partial 16S ribosomal RNA". It matches the Rfam family "Bacterial small subunit ribosomal RNA", at positions 524 to 776 of the family's 1533-position model. The record is from RNAcentral.
UACGAAAGGUGCAAGCGUUACUCGGAAUCACUGGGCGUAAAGCGCACGUAGGCGGUUUGUUAAGUCGGAUGUGAAAUCCCUCGGCUCAACUGAGGAAGUGCAUCCGAAACUGGCAAGCUUGAGUACGAAAGAGGGUCGCGGAAUUCCCGGUGUAGAGGUGAAAUUCGUAGAGAUUGGGUGGAACACCAGUGGCGAAGGCGCCUAUCUGGCUGACAACUGACGCUGAGACUCGAAAGCAUGGGGAGCAAACAGG